Orussus abietinus is the source of this 1425-nucleotide long non-coding RNA. RefSeq lists it as uncharacterized. The record is from RefSeq and is a predicted model, not a curated record. The transcript has 5 exons. NCBI's taxonomy places the organism in Eukaryota, Metazoa, Arthropoda, Insecta, Hymenoptera, Orussidae.
GUGCAUUAUCAACCCGCGAGUAAAGCGCUCGCUUUCCGGUGAGCUUUAUAGUGACCAUAGGAAUACGACGGCUUGAGAUCCCCGCAAGCCUUCGGACGGGUUCCACGUCAUCCGAAUGCAAUUCUCGAUACUCGCAACUUUCAUUGAGAAAUAUGUGCCUAGGACGCGUGGGUGGUGAUCUACCAACGCUCGGCGCGCAGCCCCAGGGCCGUCACCACAUCAAGGGGGAAAUUCAGGAAAAAUCCAGGGUUUACCCGCGCCCAAAUUCCGGACGUGAUCUCUACCUCGGCGACUCCUUUCAACACGUUCCGUGCCACGUGUACCAGAGUUGAUAUACGUUAACGCGUACCAAUGGAUACCUCGGAGCGUAUCAAAGGAGAUUCUCGCUACGACCCUGGACGGCGCAUUCGGAGAGAACGGUGAAGUCGCAUGCUCGCCUUCGUCCUACGUGCUCAAGAGAGGCAUAACGCAACAUAUCCGCUUUCAGGUGAGAAGGCAAGGCCUUUUCCUUCAGCAGCGCCUCGUAGUGUUCCUUGGCCAGCCGGUACUUGCCCUGGACCUCAUAAAGGUGGGCCACGUGAAACUUAACUGGAAACAAAGGAAGACGAGCCCCAGGAAAACUGAAGUCAAGGAGGCGCCCCAUGCCCGUCGCGUCACCCUGUGCAACGAAUCCGUACACCACGGGGCAACAAAUUACCCGACAAGUGAAGAGGCCGGAAUAACAAUGAAUUAUCCCGCCAACACGAUAACUCUCCGUGGCCGAUGAAGCCGAUUCCCCGCCAGCCGGUUGCUCAACUCCUUUGUCAGCGAUUACGUUCAUCCAGGGCGAGCUCGCGCGUAUGCAUUGUUACGGGCCACGGGGAUGCGUAACGCGUUUCGAUCGACAUCGGGUACUCUAAGCGGGAGAAGUGCGCACGGAACGUGUCUCUAGAAUCCACGUAACGUGUCUCUCUAGAAUCCACGUAACGACGUAACCCGGCGUACGCGUUGCGACAAAGUGGCCCGAGCAAGCAUUCAUUUCUGCCCCCCCUCUCGCCUUUGUAGCGGCGCAUUUACAAGGCAAUAAACCGCCGGGAAAUUUCAUAACGCGUCCAUUUCGCAACCGUAACCGCCGCCGUCUCUUGCCCACGUGGCGUUUUCCAGGCGGCAUCUUUCGACUCCCUCGGCGACAACCUUGGCGCUCUCCGUUUCCCGUUACACCGUGGCGGCUAUUUAUACGCGCGUAGGAGCACCUCGUGUACACGACUUGGAAUCGACUUACGAUUUCCUGACGGGUACAAUAACUAUUAUCGCCCUCCCGACAGGCGUGACGAGUGGCAACGAGGAGCCUGUCUAUUUACCCCAGCGACUCCGCGUCUAUCCGGCGACAAAUGUCACCCUACGGGGGAUGUACAUCGAUAUAGAAGUAUUACAAUCCAUAUGUAC